ACUGUGCGAAGGUAGCAUAAUAAUUAGUUUUUUAAUUGAGAACUGGUAUGAAUGGUUGGACGAGAAAAUAGCUGUCUCAAUUUAAUUUAAAUUAGAAUUUUAUUUUUAAGUUAAAAAGCUUAAAUAUUUUUAAAAGACGAGAAGACCCUAUAGAGUUUUAUAUUAAAUUUAUAUUUAAUUUAUAAAGUAUUAUUUUUAUUUUAUUUAAAUUUAGUAUUUUAUUGGGGUGAUAUAAAAAUUUAAAAAACUUUUUAUUUUUUAUAACAUUAAUUUAUGAAUUUAUGAUCCAUUAUUUAUGAUUAAAAGAUUAAAUUACCUUAGGGAUAACAGCGUAAUUUUUUUUUAGAGUUCUUAUCGAAAAAAAAGUUU
RNAcentral lists this ribosomal RNA (369 nucleotides) under Aphodius sublimbatus. RNAcentral describes it as "partial 16S ribosomal RNA". Lineage: Eukaryota; Metazoa; Arthropoda; Insecta; Coleoptera; Scarabaeidae. RNAcentral also lists the same sequence under 1 other name. The record is from RNAcentral.